Long non-coding RNA from Dendrobium catenatum, 548 nucleotides. RefSeq lists it as uncharacterized. The transcript has 2 exons. Lineage: Eukaryota; Viridiplantae; Streptophyta; Magnoliopsida; Asparagales; Orchidaceae. The record is from RefSeq and is a predicted model, not a curated record.
CUUUUUAUUCGGAAACCGCCCCCACUACCUCCUAUCUAUUCGCGCGGAAAAAGCCCUCUCAUUCGUACUACUCGCUCUCCGUCUCCCUCUCAUUCGGACAUCAAUAACCGGAACCCCCAAGAGAACUCCCCCUUCUUAUUCCUUGCUCUCUUGCGUGAGAAGCUCCAGACGGGAUCCCCAUCCUCUUUCAUCUCAAAUGCUUUCGUGGACGGCUGACCUAGCCGGCGCCUACCCAACGCCGCCUGCCCUACUCCGUCCGCCCAUCUCUUGCCUCCUCUGCCCUAGCCGACGCCGACAACCUUCUCAACCUUGGGCCUGAUUAAAACCUCAGUCAUGAGUGAAUGACUUUUGGUUGCUUUCUAGUAAGUGAUUUUCUAUUUUUUGUAUUUGUCUUUUCAUCAAGAUCAACUAGGUAAGUGGAUACCUUUGAUAAUAAUGCAUCUAUAAUGAUGAAUAUUUUUUGAGUAGCCUGCAAAUUUAUAACUUUAGUCCAUCUUUGUUAAUUUGAUAUUUAAUUCACAUAUAUCGUUACAACCUUUUGAGAAAUU